Long non-coding RNA from Taeniopygia guttata (zebra finch), 1756 nucleotides. RefSeq lists it as uncharacterized. NCBI's taxonomy places the organism in Eukaryota, Metazoa, Chordata, Aves, Passeriformes, Estrildidae. The record is from RefSeq and is a predicted model, not a curated record.
GCCUCCUGUAGAGAGAAAUGUCAAAGAAGGGAGGUUAUAUUUGAAGUAAGAGACAAAUACUCUAGGUUUCAGAAAAGCUCUGUAAGAGCUGGUGUAGACAAUUUCUCUUUGAGCCAUAGCUCUGAGAAGACAAACGUAUUUUCAUCACUGCCUGCUUUUGGAAUUUAUUUUUUAAACAGUUAAUGAAUUAACCAGAAUCAGUCUGCUUUAUUCUCUUCACCCCUUUAGCAAUUCAGUUUCUCAGCUUUUUCAGCCUGGAUGGAAAAGGAAAGAAACACUGAAGUACAGUCAGGUGCAGCUCCUUGAAGACUGUCACUUCCUAAAAGUCACAUUUGACUAUUCAGUUUUUCUGCAACAAUUGUCAGUUGUCACUUGACUCUAAAAACAGAGUGAAGAUGUUUAGAUGAUGAAGUAAGUCCUUCUGCUAACAGACAAUACACACGUGACCAAGUCAGAGACAAGGUCUGGCACUCAUUUACUCCUUGCCAUUAUAAUCCUUUAUUCUGACCAGAUGAAUCACAAGUCAUCAUGCACAAUGUAUCACCCAAUGUUCAGCUGUUUCCACUGGCAGCUGAACGUAUCUGAAUGCAAAAUAGAAACAUUUCUUAGAAAAGCUUAAUCUACUAAUGUGAUAUUAUGCCAGACAUGUUUUCAUACAAGAACACUAUUAAUAUUCUGACUUAAGAAACUGGGAAGCAAAGACACAUUUGACUGGAGCCGAAAGAGAGAAUUGAUGGGUUUUCCCUCAGAUUCUAGUAUGUACUGCAGAAAUGUAGAACACAUACAUUUCCUGUAGUACAAACUGGCCUUCAAAGCAGGUGGUAUUCCCCCUGGAAAUAGCCAUCUGUGCCAACCAUUUAUACAAAGCACCAGGACACUCCCACGGACACUGUCUUUUUGUUCUGCACCCCAACUGCCUCCUGACUGAGCAAAAGACAAGCCUGGCAGCUGAAAGUUUAUGAUGAGUGAAACAUACUGAGCUUUGUAGCUAAUAUUUUUUUUUGUAGCUUAUUUAUCACUGUGAGUGCAAAAAUUUUUUUAAAGUGGUGUCUGAUAGAAUGUAAACCUGUUAAGAUAGGAAAAUAUGGCUUUUUUUCUUCAGUGGAUAGAGAGACUAUUUACUUUGAUAGCAUGGUGCUCUGGACAAGGCCUUGUGCUAUGCCAGUUUAUCCACAAGGUGGCAUUGGCAACUGCACAGUUACACAACUGCAUUCAUUUGCUGAGGAAUUCUUUAACACACAAUUUGUGGUCCGGAAUGGAUCAGCAGAGUUGGCAGAAACAGGCAAUGUUCUUAUUAGGCUUUUUCAUAUAAAAGCUAAAUGUAUCUCCUGUUUUGUAUUUACUGUACAGAUUUACUUUGUUUUAAAGCUAAGAGUGUAUCUAUACUUCCACUACCAGACCUAUCAAUUGCAAAGUUCUUCAAUUAUAAAUGCAGAACACAUAAUUGCUUUUAACAUGAUUAACUGAAGAAAAGGCAAAGCAGUAGUAUUUCUGCUUGUUUGGAACAGGCUCCCCAGGAAAGUGGUCACAGCACCAAGCCUAAUAUAGUUGAAGAUGAUUUUGGACAAUGCUCUCAGGCACAUGACCUUCUGUGAAACUCUGAAAACUAAGUUCAGAAACAAUAUCUACACAAAUCAAAUUACUAUGACAAAAGUGACUCCAAAAUACACAUCAAAUGUUCACAGACCCCGGGCUGCUAUGGCAGAAUCUCACGCUUGCCAUAUAGGUAUAGCCAUUAAUAAACAAAAGAACCUCA